GGAAAUGAAUUUCGCCUCGGGAGGGGCUCAUGUGAUAUUAGCUUGUUGGUGAGGUAACGGCUCACCAAGGCGAAGAUGUCUAGCGGGUGUGAGAGCACGACCCGCGCCACUGGCACUGAGACACUGGCCAGACACCUACGGGUGGCUGCAGUCGAGGAUCUUCGGCAAUGGGCGCAAGCCUGACCGAGCGACGCCGCGUGGACGAUGAAGGCCUUCGGGUUGUAAAGUCCUGUCGAGGGGGAUGAAGGCGCAAGCUUGACAUAUCCCUGGAGGAAGCACGGGCUAAGUUCGUGCCAGCAGCCGCGGUAAGACGAACCGUGCAAACGUUGUUCGGAAUCACUGGGCUUAAAGGGCGCGUAGGCGGCAGAUCAAGUCCGGGGUGAAAUCCUGCAGCUUAACUGUAGAAGUGCCUUGGAUACUGAUUUGCUCGAGGGAGGUAGGGGUCUGUGGAACUUCUGGUGGAGCGGUGAAAUGCGUUGAUAUCAGAAGGAACGCCGGUGGCGAAAGCGACGGACUGGAUCUCUUCUGACGCUGAGGCGCGAAAGCUAGGGGAGCAAACGGGAUUAGAUACCCCGGUAGUCCUAGCCCUAAACUAUGGGCACUAGGUUGCGGACUAACAUGGGUUCGCAGCCGAAGCAAAAGUGUUAAGUGCCCCGCCUGGGGAGUAUGGUCGCAAGGCUGAAACUCAAAGGAAUUGACGGGGGCUCACACAAGCAGUGGAGCAUGUGGCUUAAUUCGAGGCUACACGAAGAACCUUAUCCUAGGCUUGACAUGUCCGAAAGGGGUAGGAAGUAGUCUGCGGAAACGUUCGACCAAC
RNAcentral lists this ribosomal RNA (817 nucleotides) under uncultured Gemmata sp. Its description in RNAcentral is "bacterial SSU rRNA". It matches the Rfam family "Bacterial small subunit ribosomal RNA", at positions 200 to 1033 of the family's 1533-position model. Lineage: Bacteria; Pseudomonadati; Planctomycetota; Planctomycetia; Gemmatales; Gemmataceae. The record is from RNAcentral.